GGGACACGUGGUAUCCUGUCUGAAUAUGGGGGGACCAUCCUCCAAGGCUAAAUACUCCUGACUGACCGAUAGUGAACCAGUACCGUGAGGGAAAGGCGAAAAGAACCCCGGCGAGGGGAGUGAAAAAGAACCUGAAACCGUGUACGUACAAGCAGUGGGAGCACGCUUAGGCGUGUGACUGCGUACCUUUUGUAUAAUGGGUCAGCGACUUAUAUUCUGUAGCAAGGUUAACCGAAUAGGGGAGCCGAAGGGAAACCGAGUCUUAACUGGGCGUUAAGUUGCAGGGUAUAGACCCGAAACCCGGUGAUCUAGCCAUGGGCAGGUUGAAGGUUGGGUAACACUAACUGGAGGACCGAACCGACUAAUGUUGAAAAAUUAGCGGAUGACUUGUGGCUGGGGGUGAAAGGCCAAUCAAACCGGGAGAUAGCUGGUUCUCCCCGAAAGCUAUUUAGGUAGCGCCUCGUGAAUUCAUCUCCGGGGGUAGAGCACUGUUUCGGCAAGGGGGUCAUCCCGACUUACCAACCCGAUGCAAACUGCGAAUACCGGAGAAUGUUAUCACGGGAGACACACGGCGGGUGCUAACGUCCGUCGUGAAGAGGGAAACAACCCAGACCGCCAGCUAAGGUCCCAAAGUCAUGGUUAAGUGGGAAACGAUGUGGGAAGGCCCAGACAGCCAGGAUGUUGGCUUAGAAGCAGCCAUCAUUUAAAGAAAGCGUAAUAGCUCACUGGUCGAGUCGGCCUGCGCGGAAGAUGUAACGGGGCUAAACCAUGCACCGAAGCUGCGGCAGCGACGCUUAUGCGUUGUUGGGUAGGGGAGCGUUCUGUAAGCCUGUGAAGGUGUGCUGUGAGGCAUGCUGGAGGUAUCAGAAGUGCGAAUGCUGACAUAAGUAACGAUAAAGCGGGUGAAAAGCCCGCUCGCCGGAAGACCAAGGGUUCCUGUCCAACGUUAAUCGGGGCAGGGUGAGUCGACCCCUAAGGCGAGGCCGAAAGGCGUAGUCGAUGGGAAACAGGUUAAUAUUCCUGUACUUGGUGUUACUGCGAAGGGGGGACGGAGAAGGCUAUGUUGGCCGGGCGACGGUUGUC
This 1083-nucleotide ribosomal RNA is filed under the name Escherichia coli. Its description in RNAcentral is "partial 23S ribosomal RNA". It matches the Rfam family "Bacterial large subunit ribosomal RNA", at positions 419 to 1506 of the family's 2925-position model. The record is from RNAcentral. Lineage: Bacteria; Pseudomonadati; Pseudomonadota; Gammaproteobacteria; Enterobacterales; Enterobacteriaceae.